This 468-nucleotide ribosomal RNA is filed under the name uncultured bacterium. Its description in RNAcentral is "partial 16S ribosomal RNA". It matches the Rfam family "Bacterial small subunit ribosomal RNA", at positions 28 to 507 of the family's 1533-position model. The record is from RNAcentral.
GACGAACGCUGGCGGCGUGCUUAACACAUGCAAGUCGAACGGAAAGGCCCUGCUUUUGUGGGGUGCUCGAGUGGCGAACGGGUGAGUAACACGUGAGUAACCUGCCCUUGACUUUGGGAUAACUUCAGGAAACUGGGGCUAAUACCGGAUAGGAGCUCCUGCUGCAUGGUGGGGGUUGGAAAGUUUCGGCGGUUGGGGAUGGACUCGCGGCUUAUCAGCUUGUUGGUGGGGUAGUGGCUUACCAAGGCUUUGACGGGUAGCCGGCCUGAGAGGGUGACCGGCCACAUUGGGACAGAGGUACGGCCCGGACUCAUACGGGAGGCAGCAGUGGGGAAUAUUGCACAAUGGGCGGAAGCCUGGUGCAGCAACGCCGCGUGCGGGAGGACGGCCGUCGGGUUGUAAACCGCUUUCGCCUGUGACGAAGCGUGAGUGACGGUAAUGGGUAAAGAAGCACCGGCUAACUACGUG